UGAAUACGAGAUGCUACGGCGUCGAAGCAGUCUAUGUCAUACUUCCAAGAAAAGCUCGCACUGUCAUAAACAAAUAAUGCCUGUACCAUAACCGACACAGGUGGGUAGGUAGAGUAUACUAAGGGGCGCGAGAUAACUCUCUCUAAGGAACUCGGCAAAAUGACUCCGUAACUUCGGGAGAAGGAGUGCCUUAUUUAUAAGGUUGCAAUAACAAGAUCCAAGCAACUGUUUAUCAAAAACACAGGUCUCCGCUAAGUCGUAAGACGAUGUAUGGGGGCUGACGCCUGCCCAGUGCCAGAAGGUUAAAGAAGUUGGUUAGCAUUCGCGAAGCUGAUAACUGAAGCCCUGGUGAACGGCGGCCGUAACGAUAACGGUCCUAAGGUAGCGAAAUUCCUUGUCGGGUAAGUUCCGACCCGCACGAAAGGCGUAAUGAUUUGGAUACUGUCUCGGAGAGGGGCUCGGUGAAAUAGACUUGUCUGUGAAGAUGCGGACUACCUGCACCAGGACAGAAAGACCCUAUGAAGCUUUACUGUAACUUGAGAUUGAAAUUGGACUUUACUUGCGCAGUAUAGGUGGGAGGCGUUGAUAAUAUUCUUGCGGGAUUAUUUGAGCCAUCAGUGAGAUACCACUCUUGUAAUGUUAGAUUUCUAACUUUGUAUCAUUAUCUGGUCAAAGGACAGUUUCAGGCGGGCAGUUUGACUGGGGCGGUCGCCUCCUAAACGGUAACGGAGGCGCACAAAGGUUUCCUCUGAACGGGUAGAAAUCGUAUCUAGAGUGUAAAGGCAUAAGGAAGCUUGACUGUGAGACCUACAAGUCGAGCAGGGACGAAAGUCGGUCUUAGUGAUCUGACGGUGCUGAGUGGAAAGGCCGUCACUCAACGGAUAAAAGUUACUCUAAGGAUAACAGGCUGAUCUCCCCCAAGAGUUCACAUCGACGGGGAGGUUUGGCACCUCGAUGUCGGCUCAUCGCAUCCUGGGGCGGUAGUACGUCCCAAGGGUUGGGCUGUUCGCCCAUGAAAGCGGUACGCGAGCUGGGUUCAGAACGUCGUGAGACAGUUCGGUCCAUAUCCGGUGUAGGCGUUAGAAUAUUGAGAGGAGCCUUCUUUAGUACGAGAGGACCGAGAAGGACAUACCUCUGGUGUACCAGUUAUCGUGCCAACGGUAAACGCUGGGUAGCUAUGUAUGGAGUGGAUAACCGCUGAAAGCAUCUAAGUGGGAAGCCCACCUCAAGAUAAG
Molecule: ribosomal RNA, 1235 nt
Filed under: metagenome
Description: bacterial LSU rRNA
Rfam family: Bacterial large subunit ribosomal RNA
Source: RNAcentral